Molecule: long non-coding RNA, 3232 nt
Filed under: Lupinus angustifolius (narrow-leaved blue lupine)
Lineage: Eukaryota; Viridiplantae; Streptophyta; Magnoliopsida; Fabales; Fabaceae
Description: long non-coding RNA (LANG_LNC001396)
Source: RNAcentral
UUAUUCUGUUCCUGUUCCUCCACCUUGUCCGGGUUCAACCCUUUUGUUAUAUUUUCUCUCAACAUAUCAUCAUGUCUCUAACCCUUAAACUCCACUUCAACCUUCACCACCACCACCACAACCAUGCAAACAAAAACACCAUCAUAAACAAUACCAACUACAACACUUGUUUUUCUAACAAGAUUCAACCAAAAACCAUUUACAACACCAACCCUUUGAUCAUAACCACACGUAAACUUGAUUCAAGAGUAAUGCAAGGUGACUGUUGCAACAUGAUUAUCAAGAGUUCUUUGAUAGAACCUGAUGGUGGGUCAUUGGUGGAUCUUGUAGUGGGAGAAAGAGAGAGAGGUUUGAAGAGGGUAGAAGCUGAAUCACUUCCAAAGGUGAAGCUUUCAAAGAUUGAUGUUGAAUGGGUGCAUGUGAUAGGUGAAGGUUGGGCUAGUCCUUUAAGAGGGUUUAUGAGAGAAGAUGAGUAUUUGCAGUGUUUGCAUUUCAAUUCAUUGAGGUUGAAGAAUGGUUCUUUGGUGAAUAUGUCUCUUCCUAUUGUGUUGGCUAUUGAUGAUGAGAGUAAAGGGAGAAUUGGGUCUUGUUCAAAUGUUGGGUUGAUUGGUCCUGAUGGAGAUCUUGUUGCAAUUCUUAGAAGGUUGGUGGAUUUUUUAUGGUUGGUGUGCUUCAUUUAAAAUGGUCAUAGAUUAUAUUUAAUUAGGUCUAUGGUCGAAUUCAGGUUCAAAAGCUAGCUCGGUCGGGUAAGGAACAAACAUUACUCGACCCAAUUCACCUCAUAUUCAAUUUGGGAAAAGCCCAUGGGCCCGCCCGCAUUUAUUGGGCGGGCAAGACAUGCAAAUUAUGUUCAUUCACCCUAAAAUGUCCGCCUAUGUCCUAUUCGCUCGCAAACAUUUCCAAUGGGCAAAAUGGGGUGGCCCAUUCACAUUAUUAGAUAAAAUAUUGAACAUCAAAUAUAAAAGUAUAUGUAUUUUGUUAAAUAUGAGAAAAUUUGUUCUAUUUGUUAUAUAAACAUUUGUAUAUCAAAUGUAAGAAAAUACUAUCAUUUUCUUAUUAUUUAUAUGCAUUUGUAUUUUGUAUAUUAUAUUGUACUAUUCCUUUUGAAUUUUGUAUGAAAUUAUAUAAUAUGUAUAUUUUAUAUUAUAUAUUACAAAUAUAUAUCAUAUUUUCGUAUGUGAAAUAUAUAUUGUUUAUUUUGUAAGAAGUAUAUAUAAAUUUGUAUAUAUAUUUUUUUAGUUUUAUUUAGGGCAGUUCACAAGUCUGCCAUGCCCAUGUUUAGGGCGGGUAUGACAUGAUAUUUUAUGCCCUAAUUUAAAAACGGGUAUGUCAUGUCUGCCCUAUUUAAAAACGGGCAUGCCAUGUCCGUCCUAAUUUAAAUAGGUAUUGCGUGGACAUGUGUAGCGCGACCUUAAUUACGAAUAAUACUCACCCCUAUUAGAACUAAGUACCAGUAGUUUUUAAUUCAUACUAAAAUUAUUAAAUAUAAGCAUUAUAAAAAUCCUUUACAAUGUCUACUGCAAACGAGUUGAACCUGAGCUAAGCUCGAUUCCAUUCAAUGUAAAUUUAUCGGCUCAAAACUUGACUCGAUUUCGAAACGAGUUAGUUAUGUUUCUAGCUCGAACUCGACUCGAUUGAAAUUCAUAACUAUUCAAUUGACUCGUCAGUUCAAAUUGCUUUGGUUCAUCAAAAGUUUGCGAACUUUUUAGUUUAACUCAUUAGCUAGAAUUGUUUAUUAUGUGAGCUCGAAUGAUAAUAUUUAUUUAACAUAUAUAAAUUUAUAGCUUUUCUAUAUACACACUUAUAUAAAUUAUGUUUUUAACAAGUGUAAUUUUUUAUUCAAGUUUAAUUCGUGUAACUUAUGAAUAAAAUUUAUCAAACUAAAUAAGAAAUUAAAUUUCAAAAGAAUAUUGGUUUGAUUUAUUUGUAGUUUCUCUUAACAUAAAUGAUAAUUAAAUUUGGAGGGAGACUCCACCUUGAUGAGGUUCCACUUUGAAUGAUUCAGUGAUUGAGUUUGAUGCUGUGUUCAACAAUGAAUGGUUCUACCUUCUUCCCUUUUAUCUUUAUGGUCCUAUAUUUUGCAUCUUUAAUUUGGUGCAUGUAUUUCCACCCUUUUCUCAUCCACAUACUCAUUCAUGUGGCUUCUAUCAUUCCAACAUAUUCCCAUAUUCAUACCUUUUUCAAUUCAUAAUAACCAAACUUUUAAAUAAAAACUUCUAAAAUCUUAAAAGUUUUUUUUAUACUACUAAUGAUAUAUCUUUAACUUCGGGUAAUAAACUAAUCAUUCUGGGAUGUGUGUCUACCCCUCCUAACAAAUAUCGCUCAUAUGAAUUGAAUUUUUAACAUUUAUGUGGCUAUACUUCGUGAUACAUUUUACACAACUCCUAAAAUUUUGACAAAUCUUUUAUAUCCCUUAUUAUCAACCAUUUUCUUUACAAAAAAAUAUUUACAUUAUUAAAAAUUGUCAUAUCAAUUCCGAAAGCCAUUUAACCGUAUAAAAUAAAAUUAAUAGAUAAGAUGAUUGUUUAUUAUCGUAUGAAUAAAUCUAUUGUUUCAAAUCAUGUCCCGCACCAAUACAUAUCAAUACCCAAAGCCAUUAACCAUAUAAAAUAAAAUAACAGAUAAGAUAAUGGUUUAUUGUCUGCGAAAAAGUGAAACAAAUGUACUAUUCUAAACUAUAUUCCAUACCAAUGACAUCGAAACAAAAAAAAUUAAAUUUUUUUAAUUAAUAUAACAAUGUUUUAGAUAACCAAUCUCUUUAAAGAUUUCCAUUUGUUAUUUAGUACUAUAGAAUGUUGUGUUGUUAUUCUGUUCCUGUUCCUCCACCUUGUCCGGGUUCAACCCUUUUGUUAUAUUUUCUCUCAACAUAUCAUCAUGUCUCUAACCCUUAAACUCCACUUCAACCUUCACCACCACCACCACAACCAUGCAAACAAAAACACCAUCAUAAACAAUACCAACUACAACACUUGUUUUUCUAACAAGAUUCAACCAAAAACCAUUUACAACACCAACCCUUUGAUCAUAACCACACGUAAACUUGAUUCAAGAGUAAUGCAAGGUGACUGUUGCAACAUGAUUAUCAAGAGUUCUUUGAUAGAACCUGAUGGUGGGUCAUUGGUGGAUCUUGUAGUGGGAGAAAGAGAGAGAGGUUUGAAGAGGGUAGAAGCUGAAUCACUUCCAAAGGUGAAGCUUUCAAAGAUUGAUGUUGAAUGGGUGCAUGUGAUAGGUG